RNAcentral lists this ribosomal RNA (489 nucleotides) under uncultured bacterium. Its description in RNAcentral is "partial 16S ribosomal RNA". It matches the Rfam family "Bacterial small subunit ribosomal RNA", at positions 28 to 507 of the family's 1533-position model. The record is from RNAcentral.
GACGAACGCUGGCGGCGUGCUUAACACAUGCAAGUCGAACGGUGAAGGGAUCAGCUUGCUGGUUCUGGAUGAGUGGCGAACGGGUGAGUAGCACGUGAGUAACCUGCCCCCUUCUUCUGGAUAACCGCAUGAAAGUGUGGCUAAUACGGGAUAUUCUGCGCCUGCUGCAUGGUGGGUGUGGGAAAGAUAUUGUUUCGGUGGGGGAUGGGCUCGCGGCCUAUCAGCUUGUUGGUGGGGUGAUGGCCUACCAAGGCGGUGACGGGUAGCCGGCCUGAGAGGGGGGACGGUCACACUGGGACUGAGACACGGCCCAGACUCCUACGGGAGGCAGCAGUGGGGAAUAUUGCACAAUGGGCGCAAGCCUGAUGCAGCGACGCCGCGUGAGGGAUGGAGGCCUUCGGGUUGUGAACCUCUUUCGCCAGUGAAGCAGGCCUGUCCCUUGUGGGUGGGUUGACGGUAGCUGGAUAAGAAGCGCCGGCUAACUACGUG